Loxodonta africana (African savanna elephant) is the source of this 6116-nucleotide long non-coding RNA. RefSeq lists it as uncharacterized. The record is from RefSeq and is a predicted model, not a curated record. NCBI's taxonomy places the organism in Eukaryota, Metazoa, Chordata, Mammalia, Proboscidea, Elephantidae. The transcript is spliced from 3 exons.
GGUGGGCUGGGGCUGGCUGGGGUGGGUGGGGGUGCUUCAUUAGAAAGUGCCAUCAGUAUCUCCUUCCACCCCCAGUUUCUGUAGCGUGGACAAACUUUGCCAAGUGGGCAGUAAGAAAAAUUGGGAAAAAUGGGGCAGGAAUAGGCACUUAGCUUUAUCCUAGAUUUUUCUUUUUCUUAAAUUUAACAGCUUUAUUGAGAUAUACUCACAUACAAUUCACCCAUUUAAAGUUUACAUGUCGAUGGUUUUUAGUAUUAACAUUUUCACCACCCCAAAAAGAAACUCUAUACCAUCAACAGUCACUCCCCAAUAUCCCUUAGUCUCCCCUGCCCGAAGUCCUAAUCUGCAAAUCUACUUUCUGUUUCUAUAGAUUUGCUUUUUCUGGACAUUUCGUAUAAAUAGAAUCAUACCAUGUGUGGCUGUUUGUGACUAGUGUCUUUCACUGAAGCACAUGCUUUGUGACCGAAUCAGUGAUCCACAGUUAGUCCUGCCUCCAGGGAUCACACCUUGUUUUCCUCUGAUGCUGGGGGUGUUGGGGGGUGGGGCGGUGGAGGGGAGCACUGACCUUGGGGCCUCCUCCCUUCCUAGGUGAGAACAGAGAGGCAGGAAUUCCCCAGCCUCUCCAUGGGCCUAGAUACUAACCACAGUCUCCAUCUCAGCUGCAGGUAUUCUAAGAAACAUCUGCUGGGAACAGCCUGUGGCUUCAAAACUAGGGAGCCUGCCUGAGAGACAAGGCUUCCUGUCUGAGAGGUGGGGGCUUAAGCGCUCCUGCAACCUGUCCUCUGGGGCACCUGCUUCUGCGGUCAGCCAUGGAGGUCAGUGGGAGGCACCUUUUCAGGUCUGCUUUAUCUUGAAUGAAGGAAAAAAGCCCACCUGGAAAAUCAGAGAGACUGCUGUUGAAAGGGUCUUUCCACAAGGUUACCCAGGAGUCCUGGCUGGAAUAGCGUUCGGACCCUUGGUGGUGAGAGGUGGAUGUGAGCAGCUUGUCUCCCAGAUGGCCGGCUCCCUGAGACAUGCCUGGGAGGCCUCACUGGCUUCUUCAUUUGGAACACACCCAGGCCCAGGGACUUCCCGGAGCCUAUUGAAGGCCUCAGCAGCCUCCCGGCGAGGCUUUGCCAGGAGCCCAUGGUUAGUUCUAAGGAAAUGGGCAACUGGGAAAAAUGGCAGCGUGGGAUGGGAACCAGUCACCUUUCCUGGGGAUAGAAUACUUCCAGUGUGGGGAGACGCAGUGUAAUUAAGGCAGGGCAGGGUUUCCUUUUUUUUCUUAAUGUUGCUUUUCCCGUUUUGACCUUCCCAAGGGAAGGGGAGUUAGUCUGUCCUCAGCAGGAACGAGGCUGAGGUUCCUGCUCAUGCUUUGUCUCCCAGCUCUUCUGGCCUUCUCCCUGCCUUUCCCCAGCCCCAGAGGGUCAAGAGGAAAUCCAGUCCCUCUGCUGUUGCCCUUUGCUAGUGGAGAAAGUGCAGGUGUGUCUUCCCCCAACCCCUCCCCGGCUCUGGUUUGGGGAGCAGUGGUAUUAGCUGUUUCUGCCAACUGGGGCUGUGCUUGCGGACUCCCUGGGAGACCAGAAGCUCUGACCCUGUGGACUUGCCUUGGCCCCUGGGAGGGAACCCUUGCCAGGAACCUGUGAGCUCACUCGAGGUGGGUGUUGGGUAAGGGUGGAGAGGGCUGGGGAGUAGGAAAAGAGAGGGGAUGACUCCCUCCUUCCCCCGUCAGCUGGGUGUGCAUCACUGCUGCUGGGAAGACACUCAGGCCACUUCUAGACAGAUUGGUCACUAUGGAAAUUCUUUUUUACCCUUGGGUGGGGCUUUACUUGUUCAGGAGAAUCUUUAGAUGUGCUCCUUCCAGGUCCUGGCCCUGUGAGAUGAAACCAUUCACCUGCCCCCCCUCAAGAUGAGAAGGCAGGCCAGUGUCUGAGCGCGCUCUGUAAUCUCUCCUUGUUCUCCCCGUCACCUUGUGGUUCCUAUCUUCACCUGAUCCGCUCCUCAGACAUUUGUGGUUCUAGCCUGGCAUGUGGUAGGCAUACCUUGGGGGCAGGAUGGCACCACGUGUCUUACUUUUCUCUUUCCCACAGGUUCUCGCCUUGUUGGACCCCAUUUCCCGUCAUGGCCUUACUUGGAGCUGUGGCACAUCUGGACCUAGAGAGGGGUGGCCUGUUGUCCUGUGUAAUGAGGAUCCCAGAUUUCCCCUAGGGUCACUGUGAGUCAGAAUUGACUCGACGGCACUGGGUUUUUUUUUAACCUACGUAGGAAGAUAGAAUCACAGAAGUCAAAGAGUUUACAGUUGGAAGAAACCUGAGACCUCAGGUAGGCUUGUACAGAUGAGGAGACUGAGGUCCAGAGAGUGAAAGUGACUUGUGUACAGGUGCUCGGCAAGUUCAUUGCAGAGCUGGGACUUGAACCAGGUUGUUCUGCCUUUUGGCGUAUACUUCUAUAGGGUUGCUAUGAGUUGGAAUCACUCAGCGGCAGCGAAUUUGUUUUUUUCUUCUCUGUCACUUGGCAAACUCUCUACUUGGAGAGUAUAGAGUAGAUAAACCACAGGAACGUGGAUGGCCAUGAGGUUUAAAUUACCUGUGCCAUCUGGGUGGGGAAGGAGGCGGUAGAGUAGAUAAUCUUAAAUUAUUGACAUUGGACUUUUCAGAAUAUCAGUGGAUUUUUUUUCCCCUCUAGUAAAUGUAUCUGCUUAAUUCUCAUGGGCUCCCGUAACGUUGUGUCCCAGAAACCUGCUGGGUGUGUGUGCGUGCAUGUGCGUGUGUGUGUAUGUAUGUGUGUGUGCUUGUUUGUGUAUAUGUAAGUAUGUGUGUGUGUGUAUAUGUAUGUGUGUGUUUAUGUGUGCGUGUGUGUACGUGUGUGUGUGAGCGCGUGUGUGUACUUGUGUUCACUGAUUCAUUGUUUGCUGUGAUUAAUCUACAAAGUGGAUAAUCCACAUGCAAACAUGUGAGCACCGGCUGUACCCAGACCCUUUCUUUGAAGACACAUUUAUACAACGACAGACUCCUUGCCUUUUGCCAGUAUGAAACUGGCUGGAGCUUGCUGAGGUUGUAAUUGCGUGUCUGCGUUCUUUGGCUCCCGUCUGGAAAAGUGGUUUCCACAGAUACAGUAAUAGGCUUUUAGAGCUGGAAAGCACAUUAGGGAGCCUCUGAACUGACCUCUUCAUUGUGGGGAGGGGGCAGGGACUUGUCCCAGGCCACACAGUUGGACAGUGAUGGAGCUGGUCCCAUGGGAACAAGAGCUUAUGUCAGUAGAGGGCUACGUACCAGCCUCACAUGUUCCAUCUUGGCUGAGAUGGCCUGUCCCCAGGCCAGCCAGAUCUUUUGCAGUUCUGCCCUUGACAGGCCCAUGUGUUGGCUGAAACAGUCCCUCUUCUUCCCCUACAGUUCUCCUCCCAUGAUCUCCCAGCCACCUCUUCUUUCUCUUUUAGCGCUCCAUACUGUUACUGCUUACCCCAACAUUUUACUGUGAAAAGUUUCAGAUAUGUGGCAAAGUUGGAAGAAUAGUGCAGUGAGCACGCAUAUACCCAACCACCUAGAUUCUACCAUUCAGCAUUUACUAUACUUGCUUUAUCAUGUUUCUUUCCAUCUCACUGUCCUUUUAUCUGUCCGUCUUAUUUUUGGGAUGCUGCAUUUCGUAGGAAGUUGCAGAUGUCAGUACACUUCACUACCAAACAUUUCUGCAUACAUGGCAUUCAUUAGAGUGCAUGUUUGUUCACGUGUUUUGGCUUUUUGGUGGUAAAAUUUAUAUAACAGAAAAAGUUACAAAUCUUUAGUGUAUCAUUUGAUGAGUUUUGAUAAACGCCUACACCUGUGCGCCCCAAAUCUCUGUCAAGAUACAGAGGAAGGUUAUGCCCUAGAAGGUCCCCUCACGCUCUUCCCAGUUAACCCCUCCUGCUCUCUUGUAGGCAGUCACUUCUGAUUUGCUUUCACCAUGGGUUAGCUUUGGCUGUUCUGGAACUUCACUUAAAUGGAAUCAUCAUUUUGAACUCUUUUGUGUGAAGUUCAUCCACGUGGUUACAUGUCCUGGUAGGUUUGUUUCUCUUUGUGCUGAGUAGUACUCUUUGUAUGCAUAAAUUACUUACCCAUUCUCCCAUUGAUAGACAUGUGGAUUGUUUCCAGUUUUUGGCUAUAAUGCAUAAGCUCCACAUCCUUGCACAAGUCUUUUUGUGGACGUUAUGUUUUCAUUCUCUUGGGUAAAUACCUGGGUGUGGGAUUGCUAGAGCAUAGGAGGCUGUUACUUCUUGUUCUUUUUCGACUCUCUCCCCAGCCCUCUCAUUGUGUCUGCACCCAGGAAUGUGUUAGAAAGUACCUUGUUGCUCGUCUAGAUUAAUCUCUUUCCAGUGUGGGAGUCCUCUUGAGAGCCCACUUGAGAGCCUCUGCUUGAAUGCUUCCAGGGAUAGGGGACUCACUCCUUUAUAAAGCCCCUACUGUUAUGGGACAGCGUCUUAUAAUUUCUACCUCGGGCAGCCAAAUAGGGCAAAUCUAAUGUAGCCCCCUUUUCCGUGACAGCACUAUCAAAUUUUAGGACUAUUACCACAUUCAGUCCCUCAACUGAUCCUUCAUGGUUUUUCUUCUUCUGGCUGAUUACCCCAGUUGAUUGAAGUGUUUCUCCUGUGACAUGGUUUGCAGACUGUUUACAUCCAGGUUGUCCUCCUUUGCCCAGAAUGAGAAGUGAAUUCUGGAUGUGGUUUGACAGGUACAGAGUGUGCUUGGAGCUGGAUCCCUGUCUUGAGCCAUGUACUUGAUCUGUCAGUAAGCCGAUGGUGAUGUUAACUGUUUGGCAGCCUGUCUUAGUCAUCUAGUGCUGCCAUAACAGAAGUACCACAAGUGAAUGGCUUUAACAAAGAGAAAUUUAUUUUCUCACAGCCAAGUCCAAAUUCAAGGUGUCAGCUCCAGGGGAAGGCUUUCUCUCUCUUUUGGCUCUAGAGGAAGAAGGUCCUUGUCCUCAGCCUUCCCCUGGUCAAGGAGCUUCUCAGGCAUAGGGACCCUGUGUCCAAAGGAUGCACUCUGUUCCUUGGGCUGCUUUCUUGGUGGUAUGAGGUCCCCAACUCUCUGCUUGCUUCCCUUUCCUUUUAUCUCUUGAGAGAGAAAAGGUGGUGCAGGCCACACCCCAGGGAAGCUCCCUUUACCUUGGAUCAGGGAGGUAACGUGAGAGAGGGUGGUAUUACAAUCCCACCCUAAUCCUCUCAACCUAAAAUUACAAUCACAAAUUGGAGGACAACCACACAAUACUGGGAAUCGUAGCCUAACCCAGUUGAUACACCCAUUUUUGGGGGGACAUAAUUCAAUCUGUGACACAGCCACAUCAUGGUGUUGAAUCAGAUGAGUUAAUGAUUGUAAAAAUACCACAAAUCUAAGGUGGUAUUAAGAUACCCAUUCAGUUUGAAGUCAUCUAGAGCCCUUGAUCCUAAUAGCAUUUAUUGUGUCUUAUUGUUUGCCAUUAUCUCAUGUCACCUUUGCCACCUUAUGAGAAAGGUGCUGUUAAAAAUAACUUAAUAAAAACUAUUGGUUUAAAACAGGUACUACUGGCAUUUUGGACCCAAUAAUUUUUUGUUACGGGGGAUUGUUGUAGGAUAUUUAACAGCAAACCUGGCCUCUACCCACUAGAUGCCAGUUGUACCCCGCUACCCCAAAUCAUGACAAUCAAAAUGGCUUCAGAUAUUGCCAAGUGUCCUUUUUGAGGGGAAAAAUCACCUUGGAUUGAGAGCUUUUUUCAAGGUGUAGAAUCUAGUCACUGAAAAAAAGUAGUAUCGCUCUUCCCCAAGGAAGUAACUACUGUUAGCUCUUUAGUGUGUCUCCUUCCAGGUUAUGUUCUUUGUACAGAUAGUCCUCGUUCUGCACAGUUCUGAUAUGUACGAAUUUCACCAUGGUUUAGUUAAAUAAGACCAGUUCCCCAACAACAUGGUUCACAUUUCAGUUGCCAAGGUCUUUUAACUUUGAGUAAUUACAUAAAAUACAAACUUUGCUGUAAGCUGUUUGGCAUAUGACUCAUUAUGUAAAUAACAGAUGUCCAUCAUGAUCAGUGACCAGUCAGGCACUCCUGAGAGUCUGUGAGUGAUUGGCCACUGCCCAUCUGUUGUUCUGUUCACGCACAGAUAAGAAAGCAUAUAGUUAUGUGGCUUCCUUGUC